ACCAGGUGUGGUGGUGCACACCUGUAAUCCCAGUGACUCGGGAGGCUGAGGUAGGAGGAUUACAAGCUUGAGACCAGCCUCAG
RNAcentral lists this small RNA (83 nucleotides) under Marmota monax (woodchuck). Lineage: Eukaryota; Metazoa; Chordata; Mammalia; Rodentia; Sciuridae. The record is from RNAcentral.